This 251-nucleotide ribosomal RNA is filed under the name uncultured bacterium. RNAcentral's name for it is "partial 16S ribosomal RNA". It matches the Rfam family "Bacterial small subunit ribosomal RNA", at positions 524 to 775 of the family's 1533-position model. The record is from RNAcentral.
UACGGAGGAUGCGAGCGUUAUCCGGAUUUAUUGGGUUUAAAGGGUGCGUAGGCGGUUUUUUAAGUUAGUGGUUAAACGUCGGGGCUUCACCUUGAUUUGCCAUUAAUACUGUAAGACUCGAGUUCAGACGAGGUAGGCGGAAUAAGUUAAGUAGCGGUGAAAUGCUUAGAUAUAACUUAGAACUCCGAUAGCGAAGGCAGCUUACCAGACUGCGACUGACGCUGAAGCACGAGAGCGUGGGUAGCGAACAG